GCCCCUGUAGCAUAACUGGAUAAUGCACUUUCCUAACGAAAAAGGCGAUGACGGUUCGAAUCCGCCCGGGGGCG
This 74-nucleotide transfer RNA is filed under the name Candidatus Omnitrophota bacterium. RNAcentral's name for it is "Candidatus Omnitrophica bacterium (sediment metagenome) tRNA-OTHER". It matches the Rfam family "tRNA". Rfam says of the family: Transfer RNA (tRNA) molecules are approximately 80 nucleotides in length. Their secondary structure includes four short double-helical elements and three loops (D, anti-codon, and T loops). Lineage: Bacteria; Pseudomonadati; Candidatus Omnitrophota. The record is from RNAcentral.